AGAGUUUGAUCCUGGCUCAGAACGAACGCUGGCGGCGUGCCUAACACAUGCAAGUCGAACGGAGAUAAGGGGCAUGCUCCUUAUUUUAGUGGCGCACGGGUGAGUAACGCGUGGAUAAUCUACCUUGGAAUCUGGGAUAACAUUUCGAAAGGGGUGCUAAUACCGGAUAAGACCACGAGCUCUUUGGAGUUUGCGGUAAAAGGGGGCCUCUGUAUAUGCUUCUGUUUCAAGAUGAGUCCGCGUACCAUUAGCUAGUUGGCAGGGUAAUGGCCUACCAAGGCGACGAUGGUUAGCUGGUCUGAGAGGAUGAUCAGCCACACUGGAACUGAGACACGGUCCAGACUCCUACGGGAGGCAGCAGUGGGGAAUUUUGCGCAAUGGGGGAAACCCUGACGCAGCAACGCCGCGUGAGUGAUGAAGGCCUUCGGGU
RNAcentral lists this ribosomal RNA (430 nucleotides) under uncultured bacterium. Its description in RNAcentral is "bacterial SSU rRNA". It matches the Rfam family "Bacterial small subunit ribosomal RNA", at positions 8 to 423 of the family's 1533-position model. The record is from RNAcentral.